CACGUAGGGGCGAGCGUUGUCCGGAAUUACUGGGCGUAAAGGGCGCUCAGGCGGGAGAUUAAGUCGGCGGUGAAAUUUUGCAGCUCAACUGUAAAAGUGCCUUCGAAACUGGUUUCCUUGAGUGUAGAUGAAGUAGGCGGAAUUUGUGGUGUAGCGGUGAAAUGCAUAGAUAUCACGAGGAACUCCGAUUGCGCAGGCAGCUUACUAAACUACUACUGACGCUCAGGCACGAAGGCGUGGGGAUCAAACAGGAUUAGAUACCCGCGUA
RNAcentral lists this ribosomal RNA (268 nucleotides) under uncultured prokaryote. RNAcentral describes it as "partial 16S ribosomal RNA". It matches the Rfam family "Bacterial small subunit ribosomal RNA", at positions 524 to 792 of the family's 1533-position model. The record is from RNAcentral.